This is a long non-coding RNA of Passer domesticus (house sparrow), 2779 nucleotides long. RefSeq lists it as uncharacterized. Lineage: Eukaryota; Metazoa; Chordata; Aves; Passeriformes; Passeridae. The transcript is spliced from 2 exons. The record is from RefSeq and is a predicted model, not a curated record.
ACGGGGAUACCGGGAUACCGGGAUACCGGGAUGAAGGGAGCCAUUCACUGUUACAUCCCCUUGCAUGCUACCCCAGCAGUGACUGAACAGGGGUUACAUCCAUGUGGCAGAACAUCACAUCAGCCCAGCACCACUCUGGGCCUCCUGUGACAGCUCCAGUGACCCACAGCUCUGGGAUGAGUCUGCCCAGCAUGGGAAUCCAGCAGGAAAUUCUGACAGUGAUAGGAGGAAAAGACACAGUUUUUUGUUGGCCUGGUGAGUUGAUUCACUCAUGUGACCACUGUUUAAGGGAAUGAGAGGAAAACAAAAUGAGAAAGCUGCCCCUUCUGGCAGCCACCCACACAUAACGCUGAGCUGCUCUGACUCAAAUCAGAUGGACGCCUUCCUCUACUCGAAAAAACCCCAAAACCAUCUAUUUUCUGUUAAUGUGCUAAGUCUGCUGUCACAGUUUGAUUCUCUGUUGUCUGCACACCUCACCACUCUUGCCAAGGCUGGUGUCAGCCUGGCUCAGCUUCUGUCCCUGCUCACCCGGGACACACCAGCCACUGGGUUUUGUGGAAUGACUCAGCAGUAACUUCCCCUGAUUCUCUGGAAAUUCAGUGAUGCAGUAUUUACUGAGAAAUCAGGACUAAGAGCUUGGUGAUCUUCUCAGGCAAUUCUUAAAAUUCUUUUGCAUGGAAGUUUUAAAGAUGGGUAUGAACCAGUGGUUUUCAUUCACUCUGGUUACGUAUGAAAGACCAUGUGAAAUACCUCCAAUAUGGUGACACUGCUGUGUCAAUUUUUUAAACAAAGAACAGAAAAAUUACUGAAUAAUUUCAGAGGUUUUUUUCAUUGAAUUGCAAUUUUUGUUGUCCAACAUCCAACCGACCUAAAUCACUGCUAUCCUUGCCCAUUGCAAUCAGCUUGCAAAAUUCCCAUCUAUAUAUGUCUUUAUUGUUGCCUAUUCUUCCCUUUUGAGCAAGAUGUUUUGUUUCAAAACCAGAAAAGCCUCCUUUGAUGCCACUGAAAUUGUGCACAUUUGAGUCACCUAACAACACACUGAUGGAGGACUGCCCCAGGUUCCAUUUGGAUCACACUGAGGUAGUUCCUCAGGCUCACUUUUUCUCAUAACCUCUUUCAGCCUCGCGAACUUGCUAGCAGUGUCCCCAGUGGAGUCAUAGGAACGUGGGGAGUGUGAAAGGGGUCCCCUUCUGCCUGGGUGUUGGAAAAGCAGAGGUAAAACAUAUUAGUACAAGUAGCUUUCUAGGUCAUACAGACUUAUACACUACUAUGAUGAGGAGAAGCCAAGCAGAUUUUUUUUUUUUUUGGAUGAAGUACUCACUGGUAAAAAGAGCCUAUCUUAUGACUCAGAGGAAAAAUAUUAUGAAAUUAUUAGUGCUAUUAAACAGAAGCUCUUACUCUAUCAUUCCCUAUUAGUAAAAGGAGUUAAAAGGUUUGCUUUGAUAUAUACAUUUCUAUGUUCUUCAUGAAAAUGCCUUUAGUAAUUUUCAAUUAAAGAUUAAUUUCUCAUCACAUUUUUCAACCCAUUGUAUAUUCUAAUGUAUUAUCUUUAUCCCCAUUAGAAGGUUUCCCUUAACACCUAAUUGCUUUUCUUUUUCAGUCACUGGCAAAUUUGAACUCGUUUAUUGCUUCACAAACCUCAAACCAUGCAGGCUUUUAUUAACUCAGAGAUUAAUUUUGUGGUUGGCACACUCCCUGCUUUCCAGCUCUCUUGGCAUCGCUCUGGUUUGUACUGCUGGAAGUGCCUGGCAACCUCAGCUCUCCUGCAGCAUUCCUGGCUGCAGCUUCCCUAGGGAAGAGAGGGCUCCCAGGGCAUCACGAGUUAUUUCUAGGCAUACACCUAGAAAUCACAGCAUUCAGUGCUUUUAAAACAUCAGGUGUUUUACCUGGUAGAAAAAAAUAAAUUAAAUUGUGAGAGAAAUUACAAGAAAAACAACAUUUUUUUUCUCCAUUCUGUUCACCUUAGAGGGAUUGGUGAGCAGGAGGAAAUGAGCCAGAGAGAACAAUCCAGGAUUGUCAGUGCUUCUGGAAAUGUUAUGGCCAUUCACAGACAGUGUAAUUCCUCCAGACUUUGCUCUGGGAGGAGGUGAGCAGCUUGGGGCUUGAGGACAGGAGGAGUGCUAAGUCCUGCAGCCUUUCUUAACGGGCUUCCCAUGAUGAUUUUGAUGGCAUAAUUACAUAUAUUCCACCUGAAACCUUAACUGGGUGCAAGUCCCACUUAAUAAUAAAACGUACAAGUAAUUUACAGCUUUCUGCGACCAGAACAUUUCUUACACAUUUCUCAAUUUCUCAAUUGCUCCCUCCCAUCACCUUUUACCCAGUGUCGAGGGCGUUUGCUGUUUUCUGUGUCUGGCUUUGCCCCACCAAACCCUGCACUCUCUCCCAGGUGAGGCACAAAUGAGCUGAACAAUCCUUAUUAAGUGUACAGCAUUUAGUGAGUCUCAGACUGACUAAUCACAUUUUAUGUGCUUUCCCAGUCUGACUGUACUCACUGUUAUCUCCCAUCUGUAACUGUAAAUCCUCCAGGGCAGAGAUCAGCACUGUUACUUGUUGUAUAUUACCUAGCUGAAAGGAGCCAAGGAUUUUAUGUGCUUUGGCAAUAAACAGCAUAAAUAUCAUUAUGCUUUAAGAACUUUUGUGAAGUUUUUCUCCUUUGCGCAUGGUUUCUAAAUCAGGCAGGACAAAAACCUAUCUGGGGAUCACAUUUAUGUAUGAAACCUAUCUUGUGCCAAAACUAAGAUAUCCAAGUAGCAGAGAAAAUAAAUCAGAAACUACUGUU